GGCUCAGACGAAACGCUGGCGGCGUGCNUAACACAUGCAAGUCGAACGGAUUUGAGGGGCUUGCUCCUCAAGUUAGUGGCGCACGGGUGAGUAACGCGUAGAUAAUCUGCCUGAUGAUCUGGGAUAACACUUCGAAAGGGGUGCUAAUACCGGAUAAGCCCACGGGGUCUUUGGAUUCUGCGGGAAAAGGGGGGGACCUUCGGGCCUUCUGUCAUCAGAUGAGUCUGCGUACCAUUAGCUAGUUGGUAGGGUAAUGGCCUACCAAGGCUACGAUGGUUAGCUGGUUUGAGAGAAUGAUCAGCCACACUGGAACUGAGACACGGUCCAGACUCCUACGGGAGGCAGCAGUGGGGAAUUUUGCGCAAUGGGCGAAAGCCUGACGCAGCAACGCCGCGUGAGUGAUGAAGGCUUUCGGGUCGUAAAGCUCUGUCGAUGGGAAAGAAGUGUAUUGUGGCUAAUAUCCACGAUACUUGACGGUACCCAUAAAGGAAGCACCGGCUAACUCCGUGCCAGCAGCCGCGGUAAUACGGGGGGUGCAAGCGUUGUUCGGAAUUAUUGGGCGUAAGGAGCGUGUAGGCGGUUUGUUAAGUCUGUUGUGAAAGCCCUGGGCUCAACCCAGGAAGUGCACUGGAUACUGGCAGACUUGAAUACGGGAGAGGGUAGUGGAAUUCCUAGUGUAGGAGUGAAAUCCGUAGAUAUUAGGAGGAACACCGGUGGCGAAGGCGGCUACCUGGACCGAUAUUGACGCUGAGACGCGAAAGCGUGGGUAGCAAACAGGAUUAGAUACCCUGGUAGUCCACGCCGUAAACGAUGAGAACUAGGUGUUGCGGGUAUUGACCCCUGCAGUGCCGCAGCUAACGCAUUAAGUUCUCCGCCUGGGAA
RNAcentral lists this ribosomal RNA (882 nucleotides) under uncultured bacterium. RNAcentral describes it as "bacterial SSU rRNA". It matches the Rfam family "Bacterial small subunit ribosomal RNA", at positions 21 to 879 of the family's 1533-position model. The record is from RNAcentral.